This 497-nucleotide ribosomal RNA is filed under the name uncultured bacterium. RNAcentral's name for it is "partial 16S ribosomal RNA". It matches the Rfam family "Bacterial small subunit ribosomal RNA", at positions 28 to 507 of the family's 1533-position model. The record is from RNAcentral.
GAUGAACGCUGGCGGCGUGCCUAAUACAUGCAGGUCGAGCGAACGGACGAGAAGCUUGCUUCUCUGAUGUUAGCGGCGGACGGGUGAGUAACACGUGGAUAACCUACCUAUAAGACUGGGAUAACUUCGGGAAACCGGAGCUAAUACCGGAUAAUAUUUUGAACCGCAUGGUUCAAAAGUGAAAGACGGUCCUGCUGUCACUUAUAGAUGGAUCCGCGCUGCAUUAGCUAGUUGGUAAGGUAACGGCUUACCAAGGCAACGAUGCAUAGCCGACCUGAGAGGGUGAUCGGCCACACUGGAACUGAGACACGGUCCAGACUCCUACGGGAGGCAGCAGUAGGGAAUCUUCCGCAAUGGGCGAAAGCCUGACGGAGCAACGCCGCGUGAGUGAUGAAGGUCCUCGGAUCGUAAAACUCUGUUAUUAGGGAAGAACAUAUGUGUAAGUAACUGUGCACAUCUUGACGGUACCUAAUCAGAAAGCCACGGCUAACUACGUG